This 198-nucleotide ribosomal RNA is filed under the name uncultured bacterium. RNAcentral describes it as "partial 16S ribosomal RNA". It matches the Rfam family "Bacterial small subunit ribosomal RNA", at positions 1303 to 1500 of the family's 1533-position model. The record is from RNAcentral.
GGCUGAAAUUCGCCUUCAUGAAGCUGGAAUUGCUAGUAAUGGCAGGUCAGCAUACUGCCGUGAAUACGUUCCCGGGCCCUUGUACACACCGCCCGUCACACCAUGAGAGUUGGGAAUACCCGAAGCCUGUGAGCUAACUUAUAGAGGCAGCAGUCGAAGGUAGAAUCAAUGAUUGGGGUGAAGUCGUAACAAGGUAUC